RNAcentral lists this ribosomal RNA (500 nucleotides) under uncultured bacterium. Its description in RNAcentral is "partial 16S ribosomal RNA". It matches the Rfam family "Bacterial small subunit ribosomal RNA", at positions 30 to 523 of the family's 1533-position model. The record is from RNAcentral.
AUUGAACGCUGGCGGCAUGCUUUACACAUGCAAGUCGAACGGCAGCGGGGACUUCGGUCCGCCGGCGAGUGGCGAACGGGUGAGUAAUGCAUCGGAACGUGCCUAUCAGUGGGGGAUAACGCUUCGAAAGGAGUGCUAAUACCGCAUAUUCUCUGAGGAGGAAAGCAGGGGACCUUCGGGCCUUGCGCUGAUAGAGCGGCCGAUGUCGGAUUAGCUAGUUGGUGAGGUAAAGGCUCACCAAGGCGACGAUCCGUAGCGGGUCUGAGAGGAUGAUCCGCCACACUGGGACUGAGACACGGCCCAGACUCCUACGGGAGGCAGCAGUGGGGAAUUUUGGACAAUGGGCGAAAGCCUGAUCCAGCCAUGCCGCGUGAGUGAAGAAGGCCUUCGGGUUGUAAAGCUCUUUUGUCCGGGAGGAAAUCCUGGCCUCUAAUACAGGUCGGGGAUGACAGUACUGGAAGAAUAAGCACCGGCUAACUACGUGCCAGCAGCCGCGGUAA